Long non-coding RNA from Oryzias sinensis (Chinese medaka), 3849 nucleotides. Lineage: Eukaryota; Metazoa; Chordata; Actinopteri; Beloniformes; Adrianichthyidae. The record is from Ensembl.
GAACGACUGACGUUAGCGUCAUUGACCCUGUGACGGUGGGCAGAAACGUCUUCGGUGUCGUGAAUGAUUUUGCUAAUGAAAUAGGGGCUUACAUUCAGGGCAUUUUCUGCACCAUACUGGAUUUCAUCUUGGAUAUUUUCAAAGGUACUUCCACUUUUUUUUCUUCGUCUGUGUUCUGCAUACAUGGAUGGAGCAUCAACAAAACACACUAAACAGCAAAUGGAAUCAACAACGCUCUACUGUUUGAUAAGAAGCUUUUAUGGUGUUUUAGGAGAGUUUAAGUCAGCUUGAACCCAGUCUUUUUUUCUGACUUUAUUCUAAAUUAAUAUGUGUAAAACAUAGAGUGUAUUGGUGCUUUUAAUCAAAUUGUGUUUUUCCACUCAGGAACAAUAGACAUCAGCUUUAUUGACCCGGUGACUGUGGGCCGUAAUGUCUUUCAUCUUGUAAAUGAUUAUGUGAGGGGAAUUGCAAGAUUCGUCCAGGACAUUCUCUGUGUAUUUCUGGAUGGAAUACUAGAUAUUUUAAAAGGUGAUGCGUGGCCUUCAACUCACCUGCGUUUCCCAUUAAAUAAUCCUAACUCUAGUUUUUCUUUUCCUCUGUUCAUCAGAUGUCCAGCAGGCUGUUGGGUUUAGUCCCGUCUCGGUUCUGAGAACAACGACAGAGACUAUAAGAGAACUGAUCGACAGCUUCCUUCCCACAACGCUGAUCGGUGAUCAAGGAAUUGUGCCUGAAGUGUCUGUGGACCCAAUGCAAGUCGUGGAGGAGGCGCUGCUUGAAUUCUCUGACAAGAAGGAUCUGUUCUUAGGUUACAUGUCAAGCAUGUUGGUUGGUGAUCAAGAAACGGCCCCAUCUUCAGCUGAUAUGAAGUUGGUUAGAAAGAAAGGUGAAUUCCUGCCUCCAUCGGAAAAAAGUACAGAGAGGACGCACGAGGAGGAAGUGGAAGAGGAGGUGAAGGAGGAAGAACCUGCUGAAGCUGCUGAGAUCAUGGAGGAGGGCGAUUCUGAGGCAAAAGAUGAUGAGGAAAUCCAGCCAGAAGCAACGCUUAGGGAGGAAGAAAUCCUUGAUCGGGGUAGCAAAACCAAGGAAGAAGAGACUGAGAGUCAGGAGGAAUACACAAAGAAGGAAGAAGAUACCGAUGCAGGCAAGACUAAUGUAGAAGAUUUUAGGAAAACAGAUUUAUUGUUUGUUACUCCCGACGAGAUGGAGGAGAAAUCCGGAACUGUAGACAUUUUGGCUGAAGAUGAAGAGGUGAAAGAGGGGGUCAAAACUGAAGAUAUAAAAGAGGAUCUAAAUGAAGAGGAGAUCAGUAGCACUGAGGUUGUAGAAGAUGAAAAGGCAAGAGGAGACACAAAAACUAAUGAAGAUUUGGCAGAAGCUGAGAAGGAGCCAAAAAUUGAAGAUACUUUUGUUGAACAUAAAGUAGAAGACACCAAACCGGAGAAACUAACAGAAGAUCAACCUCAGAAAGAAGCUUUAACUGUGGAAAAAGAGGCUGUAGAAGAUAAAGAAGCAGAGGAGGACGGACUAAAAGAUGAAGAGGAAGAAAUUCAAACUAAAGAAAACUUGGAAAGAUACACAAAAGAAGAGGAAGAUGGGGAAACAGACAAUAUGAUACAUUUUAAGGAAGAGGAGAAGAAACUGGAAUCUACUGGUCCAGCUGAAAAAGAAGAGGAGGAGGAGGAGGAGGACCAGGCAGAGACCACAAUUGGAGAUUUAACACAAGAACAGCAGAAGGUUGAAACUGAAGCUGGAAAAGACAUAGAAGCAACUAAAGAGGAUUUGACAGAAGAGGAAGAAUCCAAAACCAAAACUGAAUCUGAAAAACACAUUAUUAAAGAAGAGGAAGAGGAGGCCAAAGUGGACAUUUUGACAGAUGUAGAUGAAGGUAGAGCUGAAAAACAACAAGGCAGGACUGUGGAGGAGGAUGAGGAGGAGUCUGACCCUGAACACCUUUUGGCUGAAGAUAAAGAGGAGGAGGGAAAGGAAACCAAAACUGAGGAAACAAUAAUAGACAAAGAUGAAGAUAAAGAGACAGGAGAAGAUGCUGGAACUGAAGAAGAUCUGGCAGAAGAUAAAGAAGAGGAAGAACCCAAAACAAUAGAGGAUUUGCCACAAUUUGAAGAGAAGAAACAAAAAAAAGAAGAGGAGGAAACAAAAGUCACAUUUUUGGCUAAAAAAGAUGAAGACCAAGUGAGGCAGGAAGAAAAACCAGAACAACUGGAGUCUAAAGAUAAGGCCCAAGAAAAAAUGGAAAAACGUGUGGAGGACAGCUCUGUGUUUGAAUCCCACGAGGCAGAGGAGGAAACAUUUUCAGCAUCUGAGAGCAGAAAGGUGAAACGCAAAGAAGCGAGGAAGACUCGUGUUUCCCUCCAGAAGCUCAGAGACACGUCACGCAAAGAAAAACACACCCAUGAAAUGGAGAAAGGUACAAAACAAAAGUUUCCUUCAUGAAUGCAUCAGGAACUGUUUCGUUUUUAUUACUUCUACUUUUGUGCAUGUCUUCACCAUGAAGUUAUGGUGGAUUGGAACGGUGUGGCAUAACAGCUUGGUUUGGAAUUUGAUUAUUAACGAUUUUUCAGGCUAACAGUUGAGGAAUGAAUCUGGAAAUGUCACACGGUAAUACUUGCUGUGAACAUGACACUAAUGUGCUUACAGACAAAGAGUGGGUUUAGUGAUUCUCUGUACUAAACAGAGAAUUGUAAAGACACAUAGAAUAUAAAAAAAUUGUUAGUAAGAUGCCAGAUAAAUACCAACAACUGCAGCUCAAGUUACAAUACAUUUAGGUCCUACUGAUUCAAGUUAUAUACUGUAUCUUUAGAUGUGCCUAUAAGCCCUUCAGUUCCUUAGACAUUUCAAUUUAACAAAAAAACAAGAAUUCUUUUUAAUCUUUGAUUUAUUGUAUUGCACAUAAAUCAAUGUUAUGAAAAAGAAGUGAAGGAAAAGAUUCAGUUUUAACAGUUCAGACAUAAAAUCCUUGUAUUUCGGUCUAACUUUACUGGUAUAUCUGAUGUUAAACAUUUCUUUAAAAAAAGAGUUAGCAUAAUAGAAUGUCUUAAAUAAAAAAUAAAUGUAAAUAUAACAUUUUUUAAGAGGUCCGUGGCUGACCUUUAGCCUAUCAUUGCUUGUGAUUCUGACCAAUUACUUGGGUUGGAAACCAAAAAGAGACCAACUGAGAGCUCAAAGAUUUAACUUUAAGUUGAUUUGAACAUGCUAAGGGCUUUUUUUGUGUCUGGAAAAGCACAGAUAAAGCUAAUCCAUUAUAAUUAUUAUUAUGGCUAAAUUUCUUCAUUGAGCCAAUAUAACCACAAGAUGGAGCAGGGAGGCCUAAAACACCAGAGAUGUAUUUCUUCACAAAUCCUUUGAAAAUAGUUAGUUUUAUAGUUGUUAUUUAAAAACUAUUGUUAACGCAAUCUAUGAUGUUUAAAAAGUAGAAUUAUGUUUAACAUUGUUAUCAUGUUUAGAAAUUCUGUCAUGACUGUGCCUUUAAAUGACACACAAUGAAACAAGAACAAUAGUAUGCAAUUGAACUGAAAAUGAAAGAUCUGGAGUCUCAUAGUGUUAUCUCAGAGAUAUUACUACUUGGUUAUAAAAUUAUUAUCUAUAGCGAAGAGCUACUUUGUGAGAAUGGGUUUGCACUCUUAUAUUAAUGCUGUUUUUGGCAUGUGAGAUACACCACUGUACCUGCAAAAAUGAGCCAAAAAAAAUGAAUUCACUGCAGACUUUGUUUAGAAAAGUCUUUAUUUUUCUUAGGGUUUUUCUCUGUAAACAAACAAAUAUCCUCUAUUUUAAAUACACAUAUCUAAAAAUUUUAAGAUGUCCAUUUUUUGUACAUCAACAAAUAAACUUGUU